Non-coding RNA from Pteropus alecto (black flying fox), 75 nucleotides. Lineage: Eukaryota; Metazoa; Chordata; Mammalia; Chiroptera; Pteropodidae. The record is from Rfam.
UGAAGCAAUGAUGAUGAUUGGUCUUGUCUGAGUCUUGGCUCCUGAAAACUAUAGGUCUGAAACUCUGAGGUCCAG